AGGAUUUGCCCCUAGUACGAGAGGACCGGGGUGAACAUACCUCUGGUGGACCUGUUGUGGCGCCAGCCGCAGUGCAGGGUAGCUAUGUAUGGACUGGAUAACCGCUGAAUGCAUCUAAGCGGGAAACCAACCUCAAAACGAGUUCUCCCUUGAGAGUCGUGGUAGACGACCACGUUGAUAGGCCGGGUGUGGAAGCACAGUAAU
RNAcentral lists this ribosomal RNA (204 nucleotides) under Picochlorum sp. RCC944. Its description in RNAcentral is "partial Bacterial large subunit ribosomal RNA". It matches the Rfam family "Bacterial large subunit ribosomal RNA", at positions 2667 to 2882 of the family's 2925-position model. The record is from RNAcentral. Lineage: Eukaryota; Viridiplantae; Chlorophyta; Trebouxiophyceae.